AGGGGAAGCCGGUGUGAGUCCGGCGCUGCCCCGCAACGGUGAGCGGCGGCGCCCCGACGCGCCCCCGCACAGCCCGAUCGCCU
This 83-nucleotide non-coding RNA is filed under the name Actinacidiphila rubida. The record is from RNAcentral. Lineage: Bacteria; Bacillati; Actinomycetota; Actinomycetes; Kitasatosporales; Streptomycetaceae.